Long non-coding RNA from Dermochelys coriacea (leatherback sea turtle), 419 nucleotides. RefSeq lists it as uncharacterized. The transcript has 3 exons. The record is from RefSeq and is a predicted model, not a curated record. NCBI's taxonomy places the organism in Eukaryota, Metazoa, Chordata, Testudines, Dermochelyidae.
GAACACCAUAUGUUCGUUUUUAGGAGCACCAAGCAAUUUACAUUUAUAAAAAUAAGAUUUUUUUUGGAGAAAGUUGGAGAACAUUCUAUACUGGAUGAGACACCAUUUUGAAGAGAGAUGCCCCUGCCACCCCACACACCUGAGCUGCAGAUAUCCAGCAUGAACAGUGAGGAGGAGGAUAGAGUACGUGACCAGAGGAUCCACCUAUGCCGCAGGCCAGGACUUGUUUGAAAGUCUACUGCAGUGCAGUGCACCCUGACAGUCAAGCACAGCUGCCCCUCCACACCCAUGCAAUGCUGGAGGCCAGAUAAGGAGGAGAAAGAAGAGGACUUUGGGUAACAUGUUCAAUGACAUCCUACAAGCCAAUGCUGCAGACCAUUGCAGUGAUCUAGCUAGGCUAAGCUGGGCUAACUGUGAGG